Molecule: transfer RNA, 69 nt
Filed under: Ceramaster japonicus
Lineage: Eukaryota; Metazoa; Echinodermata; Asteroidea; Valvatida; Goniasteridae
Description: tRNA-Glu
Rfam family: tRNA
About the family: Transfer RNA (tRNA) molecules are approximately 80 nucleotides in length. Their secondary structure includes four short double-helical elements and three loops (D, anti-codon, and T loops).
Source: RNAcentral
AUCCUCCUAGUUGAACUACAACAAUAGCCUUUCACGCUUUAAGUUUGGGUGAAAACCCCAAGAAGGAUA